AUGCAAGUGUUUUUUAACUAAUUUUGCCCAAUUUAAAAAGCUACACCAGUUGCUCUCAUUCGUAUUAGGGUUUUAGGGCUCUGCGAUUUGUUACGGAGCCAGUCGCACUUCUAUAAUUGAGGCACAAACCGUAAGAAUUUUGCAAGGUCACGACAAUGUCUCGAGUUUAUGUUGGGAAUUUGGAUCCGCGAGUUUCAGAAAGAGAACUCGAAGAUGAAUUCCGAAUCUACGGCGUUCUCAGGAGUGUUUGGGUUGCAAGAAGACCGCCUGGUUAUGCCUUUGUUGAGUUUGAUGAUCGGAGGGACGCUUUAGAUGCAAUUCGUGCAUUAGAUGGGAAAAACGGCUGGCGUGUUGAGCUUUCACACAAUUCUAAGGGAAGUGGUGGAGGUCGUGGUGGAGGCGGUGGUGGUGGUGGGCGUGGACGUGGUGGAGGCGAGGACUUGAAGUGUUACGAGUGUGGUGAACCUGGUCAUUUUGCCCGAGAGUGUCGCUUGCGCAUUGGUUCACGAGGCUUAGGAAGUGGGUAUCGUCGAAGCCCCAGUCCUCGACGUCGUAGAAGUCCGAGUUAUGGGCGUAGAAGUUACAGCCCUCGUGGAAGAAGGUCUCCUCCUCCUCGACGCCGCAGCAUAUCUCCUCGCAGGGGCCGUAGCUACAGCAAGUCGCCACCAUAUCGCCGCUCUCACCGUGAUUCACCCUAUGCUAACGGUGUGUCACCUGGUUUUGUCCGUGGCUACAGCAGGUCACCUCCAUAUCGUCAUGGUUAUCGUGAUUUACCUUAAUGCUUUUGUGAUUAGGACUUGGGGGCUGGAACUGAAGCUAAUUGGGGAAGAACAACAAACGAUGAAGUUUCUGCUGUAAUGUAGUCCUGAUAGGAUUGAUAACAAACAAGAAUAGGGUUAUUUGAGUUCAUGUGAUGACAAAUGGGUGUGUUUUGAACUUGGCUUUGGACGGCUUCUGCAUUGUUAAGCUGCCAAAAUGGGUGCUUUGGCCUCUGUUUUUAGCGUCAGCUUGCUCUAUUCAGUCAUUUUCGGCUAAAACGGCAACAUUUCGCCACUUAAUGCACAUGGUUUACCACUGCAUAGUCUCUGCAUCUGCUUCUCUGCACCCCAUCAUCCCCUCGUCAUAGCUCCUUGUGCUUAAUGAGUGACUCUCAAUUGAAACUGAAAACGUUGAGGAAGUUGGUUGCGUGCACCACUUUUAUGUGCAAUCUUCUGUAGCGAAGCUUCUGAUGUUGUAGUUAAGACCCUUUCUGCCUGGUGGUAGAGGAAGAUGAAGGUUUUUAUUCUUCUUUGGGUAACCAUGUUUCAAGCUGCGGUAGUGAACUCGAACUGUAGGAAUUAUAUGUGGUGACUUUUCCCAAAGAGAUGUACCUUCGUAGUGGCUCGAGAGUAUUACCUUCAUAGUCGCUCAAGGAAAUGAAAGUAAUGGCUAUGUAACUGUUACUGCGAUAACCUACCCAAAGAUCUUCAGCCACUUGUACUAGAGUGGCUAGCGCACUGCACCUUCAUGUUUCUUGCCUUGUAAGUCUCCAUUUCAGGCUAAAGUAAUUGAAACCUUCGCGUUUCAAUUGUUGUUGUGGUGCUCACUUGUGACCGUGGUUCGAUGAGUACUUUGUGCAUGAAUGUUCGUUCUUGCAUUUGCUGAAAUUGCAAUUUGUUUUAGAACACUUUAUUAUUUUGUUAAUUACGGUCAUGUAGGUCUUUGCACUUGGGAAAAUGAUAAUACACUCCACUAUUUUAAUAAAUGUGGUUCUUUUUCUU
Cornus florida is the source of this 1760-nucleotide RNA transcript. It is a transcript of the gene named serine/arginine-rich splicing factor RSZ22-like, with no coding region annotated. The transcript has 8 exons. Lineage: Eukaryota; Viridiplantae; Streptophyta; Magnoliopsida; Cornales; Cornaceae. The record is from RefSeq and is a predicted model, not a curated record.